This 586-nucleotide ribosomal RNA is filed under the name uncultured Gammaproteobacteria bacterium. RNAcentral's name for it is "bacterial SSU rRNA". It matches the Rfam family "Bacterial small subunit ribosomal RNA", at positions 338 to 916 of the family's 1533-position model. The record is from RNAcentral. Lineage: Bacteria; Pseudomonadati; Pseudomonadota; Gammaproteobacteria.
CCUACGGGAGGCAGCAGUAGGGAAUAUUGGACAAUGGGCGCAAGCCUGAUCCAGCAAUGCCGCGUGUGUGAAGAAGGCCUGCGGGUUGUAAAGCACUUUCAGUAGAGAAGAAAAGCCUAGGGUUAAUACCCCUGAGUCUUGACGUAACCUACAGAAGAAGCACCGGCUAACUCCGUGCCAGCAGCCGCGGUAAUACGGAGGGUGCGAGCGUUAAUCGGAAUUACUGGGCGUAAAGCGCGCGUAGGCGGCUAGGUCAGUCGAAUGUGAAAGCCCCGGGCUUAACCUGGGAAUUGCACUCGAUACUGCCUGACUAGAGUAUGGGAGAGGGAAGUGGAAUUUCCGGUGUAGCGGUGAAAUGCGUAGAUAUCGGAAGGAACACCAGUGGCGAAGGCGACUUCCUGGCCCAAUACUGACGCUGAGGUGCGAAAGCGUGGGUAGCGAACAGGAUUAGAUACCCUGGUAGUCCACGCCGUAAACGAUGAGAACUAGAUGUCGGGAGGAUUUACCUCUCGGUGUCGCAGCUAACGCGUUAAGUUCUCCGCCUGGGGAGUACGCCGGCAACGGUAAAACUCAAAGGAAUUGACGG